ACGACCAUGCCAGGUUUACUACACAGGUUUCCGUUAGAUCACUGCAGUUAAGCAACAUUGGGCAUGGUUAGUAAUGGGAUUGGUGAUUGCUUGGGAACAUUGUGCUGUUGCCAG
Molecule: ribosomal RNA, 114 nt
Filed under: Dolichorhinotermes longilabius
Lineage: Eukaryota; Metazoa; Arthropoda; Insecta; Blattodea; Rhinotermitidae
Source: RNAcentral